RNAcentral lists this ribosomal RNA (557 nucleotides) under uncultured bacterium. RNAcentral's name for it is "partial 16S ribosomal RNA". It matches the Rfam family "Bacterial small subunit ribosomal RNA", at positions 355 to 919 of the family's 1533-position model. The record is from RNAcentral.
UGGGGAAUAUUGCACAAUGGGCGAAAGCCUGAUGCAGCAACGCCGCGUGAGUGAUGAAGGCCUUCGGGUUGUAAAGCUCUGUCUUUUGGGGACGAUAAUGACGGUACCAAAGGAGGAAGCCACGGCUAACUACGUGCCAGCAGCCGCGGUAAUACGUAGGUGGCAAGCGUUGUCCGGAAUUAUUGGGCGUAAAGAGCGCGUAGGCGGGAUAGUCAGUCUGUUGUAAAAAGUGCGGGGGCUCAACCCCGUGAUGGCAAUGGAAACAGCUAUUCUUGAGUGCAGGAGAGGAAAGUGGAAUUCCCAGUGUAGCGGUGAAAUGCAGUAGAUAUUGGGGAGGAACACCAGUGGCGAAGGCGACUUUCUGGACUGUGUCUGACGCUGAGGCGCGAAAAGCCAGGGGGAGCGAACGGGAUUAGAUACCCCGGGUAGUCCUGGCCGUAAACGAUGGGUACUAGGUGUGGGAGGUAUCGACCCCUUCCGUGCCGGAGUUAACGCAAUAAGUACCCCGCCCUGGGGAGUACGGUCGCAAGACUGAAACUUAAAGGAAUUGACGGGGU